AGGUGAUGUCCUGUCACCUGAGCAAGAUAGGUGGACACCUGAAAAGGUUGGCUAUAUAUGCUAUCAUGGAAAUAACCAAGUGAUGAGGAUGUAUAAUUGGAGACCGGGCGGGACGAUGAUAGAGAAGUAACAAGACAUGGAGGUCUUGGGUGCCUAUCUAUCCCCGCCUGUGUCGAUUAAGGACCGAUCGUUGACGGCCCUCUUGUCAUGUUGAACGCAUGCCCCACACUUAGCUGGAAGGAUAAGUCGUUCCGACCGCGAAGCCUGAACACUAUCCGGGCCG
RNAcentral lists this long non-coding RNA (283 nucleotides) under Sorghum bicolor (sorghum). Its description in RNAcentral is "long non-coding RNA (SBIC_LNC004850)". The record is from RNAcentral. Lineage: Eukaryota; Viridiplantae; Streptophyta; Magnoliopsida; Poales; Poaceae.